RNAcentral lists this ribosomal RNA (719 nucleotides) under Priestia aryabhattai. Its description in RNAcentral is "bacterial SSU rRNA". It matches the Rfam family "Bacterial small subunit ribosomal RNA", at positions 56 to 757 of the family's 1533-position model. The record is from RNAcentral. Lineage: Bacteria; Bacillati; Bacillota; Bacilli; Caryophanales; Bacillaceae.
UGCAGUCGAGCGAACUGAUUAGAAGCUUGCUUCUAUGACGUUAGCGGCGGACGGGUGAGUAACACGUGGGCAACCUGCCUGUAAGACUGGGAUAACUUCGGGAAACCGAAGCUAAUACCGGAUAGGAUCUUCUCCUUCAUGGGAGAUGAUUGAAAGAUGGUUUCGGCUAUCACUUACAGAUGGGCCCGCGGUGCAUUAGCUAGUUGGUGAGGUAACGGCUCACCAAGGCAACGAUGCAUAGCCGACCUGAGAGGGUGAUCGGCCACACUGGGACUGAGACACGGCCCAGACUCCUACGGGAGGCAGCAGUAGGGAAUCUUCCGCAAUGGACGAAAGUCUGACGGAGCAACGCCGCGUGAGUGAUGAAGGCUUUCGGGUCGUAAAACUCUGUUGUUAGGGAAGAACAAGUACGAGAGUAACUGCUCGUACCUUGACGGUACCUAACCAGAAAGCCACGGCUAACUACGUGCCAGCAGCCGCGGUAAUACGUAGGUGGCAAGCGUUAUCCGGAAUUAUUGGGCGUAAAGCGCGCGCAGGCGGUUUCUUAAGUCUGAUGUGAAAGCCCACGGCUCAACCGUGGAGGGUCAUUGGAAACUGGGGAACUUGAGUGCAGAAGAGAAAAGCGGAAUUCCACGUGUAGCGGUGAAAUGCGUAGAGAUGUGGAGGAACACCAGUGGCGAAGGCGGCUUUUUGGUCUGUAACUGACGCUGAGGCGCGAA